RNAcentral lists this unclassified non-coding RNA (568 nucleotides) under Hevea brasiliensis (rubber tree). Lineage: Eukaryota; Viridiplantae; Streptophyta; Magnoliopsida; Malpighiales; Euphorbiaceae. The record is from RNAcentral.
AGUUUUCGAUUAGCUUGUUUAUCUGGAGAUACAACAGCAUAGCAUGUUAGUAUAUAAAAAUUGUGAGAAUUGAAUCCUGUAAAAGAAAGGUAUGACAAUAAUUUAGCAAUAUUGGACGGUCAAUGAAAACCAAUUAAGAUAUUCAGAAUAAAGAUCUGCAAUCAAGCAAUAAAUCCAUUAUUUGGAAAUCAAUCAAGUAUAAACAUCAAACACUUGACCACUUAAUUUUACAAGCGAAGGCCAACAUGUUUUCAAACUGAACAAAGAAGCAUGUAGCAAUUUAUAGAUAAACCACAAGAGAUCUGCAUGUUUGAUCCUAUACACAAACUUUAGUUAUGUCAAUGCAAAUCCCAUAUUUGGAGUCAGUCCUAGUGAAAAAUGAAAAAAUCGUUUAGCUGUGAUCAUACUCUGAAAGCAAAACAUGAAAGUGAAAAGAUAGUAGAUCUGGAUUUUCCAGUGUUUUAGGAUUGUUUUGGGGGAUCAGAUAAGCGUAGAUUCUGAGAUUUAAUAUAAAAGAGAUGAAUCUAAGCAACAGAUAAGAGAAGAGAAGAGAAGAGAAGAAUAGAAG